CGUGAGUGCGCUGUCUGCUGGCCCAGACUUUUUCGGGCCGCCGGUGCGGGCGCCCUCCUGCUGGGAGUGCAGGGGCGGCCUUGGGUGUGGAGAACCCUGGCUGCACAGUCCCUUUGACGAUAGCCCACCGGCCACCCAGGCCUGUCUGGGGACAUGUGGGAUGGGCUUUUCCCAGGGAGGGCGGCAAGCUCCACUUCGGCGAGAGGUUCGUCCAUGCAGAGGUGUCACCUGGGGCCCAGUGACAGAAGCAGCCAUAUUCUAUGAGACCCAGCCCAGCCUGUGGGCAGAGUCCGAAUCGCUGCUGAAACCCUCGGCCAAUGUGACGCUGACGUGCCAGGCCCGCCUGGAGACCCCAGACUUCCAGCUGUUCAAGAAUGGGGUGGCCCAGGAGCCUGUGCACCUUGACUCACCUGCCAUCAAGCACCAGUUCCUGC
This 434-nucleotide small RNA is filed under the name Pan troglodytes (chimpanzee). Its description in RNAcentral is "processed transcript". The record is from RNAcentral. Lineage: Eukaryota; Metazoa; Chordata; Mammalia; Primates; Hominidae.